This is a long non-coding RNA of Salvelinus namaycush (lake trout), 431 nucleotides long. RefSeq lists it as uncharacterized. The transcript has 3 exons. The record is from RefSeq and is a predicted model, not a curated record. Lineage: Eukaryota; Metazoa; Chordata; Actinopteri; Salmoniformes; Salmonidae.
UGUCAACCGUGAAAACGGGAAGAAACACAUCUGGUGAACGAUUAAAGUGAGAAAGAUAAGGCUUCAUUAAAAGUGGACAGACUCCAGAAGAGCAACCCAUCGUUGCCUCAACGAGGGGAGAAAAGUACCAAAAGGAGGAAGAUCAUCAACUCAUUUCCCACCCUAAUAUGAACCCUGUACCUGUGUGACUGUCCUAAUAUGGACACCAUACCAGUGGAGCGAAGUCACUGCGACGAUGUUGCUGCCCAGCCGACAAGAGUGGACCCUGGGGACCCCAUGGUCCAGAAUCCAGGAAGUAUCAAACCGUUGAAGCCACCAAUCAUAGGAUGAGGUGUGAGAGGAUGCCAGGGCCUGUCCUUCUGCUGUGUCUAGAUGUCCAGUUUUUAAAUGCCUGGAAAAGCCUUUUUGAAGAGAUAAAAAGCACAUAAAAG